This is a non-coding RNA of Xyrichtys novacula (pearly razorfish), 14139 nucleotides long. Lineage: Eukaryota; Metazoa; Chordata; Actinopteri; Labriformes; Labridae. The record is from the annotation of a GenBank genome assembly.
UGACAAUGUGGGAUUGAAAUAAAACAGACAAGGUAUGUUUAAUACUCCUUUAAAGCUGCAUUCUUUGAUUUAAUGGAGCCUUAUUGCACAUGUUGUCUCUGUUAUAGUUUAACUCUUGGCAGACCUAGUGUCCGUGUAAGUGUGUGUAUGAAUCUGGUCAUUGUAACAGUUUAACAGCUGGCUCAUUAUCUGAGUUAUACACACACAUAUGAAAUCCCCAUCAGACUCGACCACAUCAAUUCUUCUCGAGUAUUACCUCAAUUCACUCAGGCCAUUUUAGGGUUUGCCUGAGUGCAUGUUUGCGUGCAUAAGUGUUUCUUUCUGUUGCAGCUGGCUUCUUCUGCUUUUGACGCAGCCAAUGACUGACUGUGUGCUGUUUUCUUUUUUCUCCUCCCUUUUUUCAUCUUGAACUUUUUUUUUUAUGUCUAAAAACGAAGACAGGUUUUUCUAACUGAGGCUGGAGAUAAUAACCGACAAAGGCAGGUUAUUUUAGUGGCCUGAUUACAGUGGAAACAAGGGUCAUCUAGUCUGGUAUCACAAGACCAAACACACAAAAAAGUUUGAUUUCAUAACAAUCAAUAUGCCGUUAGAUACCAUAAAAAACAAACAAGGAAGAAUCGGAGACAUGGAUCUAACUUCUGUUAAUGAUGGUUUCUACUUCAUUUAGGUCAUUCAUGGCCAGCAACAGUCACUGCUGUGCAUCAUUCAUUGCGAUCCAGUUGUUCAGUACUGGCAAGAUGAGGGGAUUAGAACCACACAUCAACAGCAGCCAUCUUAGCUGCCAGUGCUGCUGCAAGUGUGAUUUCUAUUUGAUCUCGGUAGUUUGAAAAGUCGUCUGGGACACCCCUUGAAGUCUGUUCUCCUACGCUGAAAACCAGAGGAACUUAAGUAACCCUGAACUCAAAACCCAAGAUGGCUGCAUCGUACCUUGUGCAUGUUUAUGAGCAACUCAGUCUUAUUUUGUGGCACUAAAUCAAACAUACCGAUAGUAUUGCGCAACAUCUAUCCGUGGACUUUUGUCAUGUUGCAUUUGUGCACAAACUAUGAAGUAGUUCAUUGUUAUCGUUUGGCAUUAGCUAACAAAGCAAACAACAAUGAAAGCUAAGGGCUGAACACCUUCCAAAGUUGAAAUGAAACACAGUCCACUUGUCUGAUGUAACCCUCCAGCGCCCAGAAUCCAAGGUAAAGAAAACACACAACAAAGCUCAUACAGUGGGAUAUGAACAGCUGUGAUUGGCCUGACCUGAAUUAGACCAGAUAGAAAAGCAUUUGAAUGGAAAAGGGGAAGAUGCAUCUGUCCGAGUCAAUCGAGCUUCGCCUGGUUCCUAGGCUGAGGUUCAUUGUUUCCAGAUUUGCACCAUAAAAUGCCACGAUUGAGGGAAAAAAAGAUGGAAAGAAACAGACGAAAUUUUUGUAAGCUUGUCUUCAUGCAUCUAAAUAAGAUGCAAAGAGAGAAGAGAGACAGCACAUUUCAGAAAAUAAGGUUCAAAUGAGUUCAAUCAAAUUAAGAUGUUCAAAAGGCAGAGCUCUGUCUCUAUCAGCCCUGUGGAAAGAUGUUACUUUCAGCAUGUUUUUGUAGCGAUUCCAGUCAAAGGUCUCCAACAAAACAUAUGGAUACACCUCAAACAAAAGCUCCAAGCAUGAGAAUUUGGAUCUAAGGGUAUUAAAGCACCACGAGGUGUCCAGCUUUAAAACAUCUGGAAGAUGAGCACAGACAAGUUUAAAACCUGGCAGCAAGUCGAGGAGAAGAGGAUGUGAAGAAGCCCACUUUCCAUCACCUCCGUCCCAGCCUGUCUUCACUUGGAGCUGUGGUCAAGUGUAUAAUGUAAAACAAAUCUUGUCACUGGAACCUCUUUCUGUUUCUGAUGUCAAAUAUUUGCCUGGCUUAAAGGAAAACUACAUUUAUCCUCAAACGUUAACAGCUUACAAAGAUCUUUAUUGACUGGUUAUGGUAUGAAAGGAGUGGCCAGCGAGCUGAUGUAAGCCCCAGAGGUCUUCUCCUUCGCAGCUCACCACUCACAAACUGAUCAAUCACAUCACUUUUAUUAUAUGUAUUUAUCCACUCUGGCACAUUAGAAGACCUUUAAAAACAGUUUAAAUCCAAAUGUGGAGAAUAUUAUUUUCCCAGACACGAAAAAGAAGGAAAGAAAGCAGAAGUGAAAGCAUGAGAGUUAUAUCUGAUCUCAGAUGUAAUAAAGCAUAAGAUUACUUCAUUAGUAAGAACAUCCAAAUGUUAACACUGGCGCUGGGAGAGUCUCAUAAUUCGCUCUGUCCUUUCUACUCACAUUCAUUCGCUGUCUUUCUUCACGUUGCUGCAGCUGCUAGAAAUAGCACAUGGAGUCGGCUUGUGGAAAUGCCACAAGCGACGGCUUAUGACAAAGCUGCAACUACAAGCUGCUAGUGGCAAGCCUGCCAAACAUUCAUUAACAAAUAGCAAAGUUUUCACUAAGUACGAGCAGACAAGAGCAAUCAAGUGCGGCUGUAACGCACAGUUUCUUUUUCCCUUCGCCUGUCAAACCUGUUCCUGGAAAGCAGAAAAAAAGUUGAACUUGAAUUGAUUUCUGGUCUGUCUGGUUAAAUAAAAAUGAAUCUAAGGGAAGAAGAUAUCUCCACAGGUAGAAGAUAAAGUGUGUAAUGUUUGUGUGUUUGUGUGUGCGGAAAAGAUUUAUUGUUGCCGCAUGUGUGAAUCGUGACUGACUGUUUUGUCACCAAGCGUGUGAAGCAUCACACGGCGGUGACACAUCUCUGUGACAGCUCCCAGCAUAAACAGUGCAGCUGGACUUUGACGGCGAUAACUAGUGACAAGGAGAGCGAGGGGAGAAAGGAAGGAAAGGGUAGGACACUUGUAGAUAGUGGCUGUAGGCCUGACUUCAUGGCUCUACAAAGCGCCUCGAGCAAAAGGCUCUGACAAUACAACUGCAAAGAGAAAAAGGGGAACUCCAUGAAUCGGCUCCCUGCAUGGCUCGGAAUAAAGCCACCCUUUACUUCUGGGGGAAAGCAAGUCAGGCCUUUGCUCCAGUUUAGCGUGCAUGUGCUACCUUUUGAGGUGGUGUUUACGUGCACUUAAAGGUGGGGUAGGCAGGAUUCUGUUAAAGAGGCAUCUUUUUUUGUGGUGUAUAAACAAAAAAGCUUUUAAUAUCAGUCGAUAGUUAUUAGAUAUUGAUGACAUUUGGUAAUAUAUCGAUAUUGCUGUGUUUUUUUACAUCUGUGUAGUCAGAAAGCCAUUUUCCUCCUCCCUCAACCUGAUUGGUUGUGAGGCAGAUGCUGCUCCCCCGUUCAUGAGCCCAAACAAAGUUAGCGUGCUACAUUAUCGGGCAGUAGAAACCAACAAGAAAGUUCGGAAAAUUAUCUGAAUCCUCCUUUGGCCACGUCUGCCGACACAAGCAAGGAAACAAAGUAAACACCGGAGACUCUGGAGGAAUAACGGGCGCUUAAAAAGGAGGUAGACCGGACAAGAGCUAAAAAGCUGGGUUGAUGGGGGACGCUUCAGGACCUGUAACCUUUUUGCUGGACAGGUAAACCGCUUUAACAAAGUAAGACAAGUGUCUGUAACAGAAGUGUUUCUUGUCAAACGGACCUGCUGCGUGUUGUAGCGCCGCUAAACUGUCCUCCCUCGGCUCCUGGACUAUGUCACUUUAUCCUAGUUGUAGAAGUCCUGCAAACAUUGUGUUUGCUGGUAGUCUGUUGGCAUCUACUGUAGCACCAAUGCUUUUGACUUUCACGUCAAACUGGUUGGGAUGGGUUUAGUGUUUACAUUCAAGAUUUCUCAAAAAAACUGGCACUUCCUCAGAUCCUUCCUACCCAACCUUUAAGGACCUUCGGCCCCUUCAUUUUUGUUUCAAGCUGCCCCGUCCCUUGCCCCUUCUGGAUGAAACCUCCAUAAAAAACCAUCUAUUUACUGUCCUAAUAAAGAGCUCUCGGUUGUAUUCAUCUAUAAAGGCAAACUCCUCACAAAAUACACACAUUUACACACAGCCUUUCGUGACAGAAAUAAUAAAUGUGGUUCAAACCCCAGACGCAAGUUCCAAAAAAGCUAGGUCUUCCCAUUUUAUGAAGCAGGAUAGUCUCAUUGUUCAUCUUUACAGCUGUCAGUUAGCAGGGGAGGCCCGCUGCAUGUGUCAGCCUUUUCUUUAAUAGGGAACACGGCUUCUCGACGCAGCCAUCGAUUUACCUCCUCCACCCUUGCUAUCUCCACCAUCAGCCAGAGGUUUGAUCAGCACAACUUAGAUAAAAUUUGCCCCGGCUGAGUGUGCGUGUGUGUAAUGAGAAACGAAGGAGAGAAUAAAAUUCAAAGAACACAGAAAUACUUUUGUGUGUAUGUGUGUCUAUGUGAGUGUGUGUGUGUGAGUGCGUUUCACCUCGCUGCAUCCGUUCGGAGUGCAGCAGUAAAUUGAGCAGCUGUAUUGUAUCCUGUGAACAAAAGAGGCCCAUUUGUAUAAAUUUGGCUUGUAGAGGGUUUUGGCUCUCAAAUGCGCCCCUGGCGUAGCAGAUUUGAUUACACGGGUAUCUGUUGCUCUGCCUCAGCAGAUAAAACAGGCCUCCAUCAAUGCUAGAAGUCAACGUGCCUUGAACACUUCAAACGAAACUUCAUCUGUGGGCAACCCAGUUAGUUUAUCCAGACAAACCACCAAAUAUUUUAUCAUACAGAUUUGUUUCAUGCUUUUGGCUAUUGCUUCAUAUAAUAUUUUCUUUUGGGGUAAGUUGGUCCUGUUGGAAAUUCAAAGAUAAAAGAUAUUUUGCGUGAAGUUUGCAGCAUUGCUAUCCGGAUAGCAACAACAAUCUCUUGUCGCUUCACCGCUUUGGUGCAGGCUGAAAUCUUUUUUUAUUCCUUUUUGCAAAAAUUUAGAAACAAAAACAGAAACAAAACAAAAAGAUUGUAUACAGUUAUGUAUACAGUCAAGACUGAAUAAAGCUUCACAAAAAACCUGCAUAUGAGUACCUGGGUGAGCAACUUUCUUACACCUACAUUAGCAUCACAAAAAUAAGGUGUUUGUUGCUGCUAGAUCAAAUUGAACAUUUACCUUUGCAAGUCCAACAUUAAGGAGGAUGAAGAGGUGAUACUUGAUGGGCCAUUAUGUGUUCAAGAAUGCCUUUUAUGCAAAUGAACCUCAUUACUUUAAACAAUACAAUACAAGCUUCUUACAGCUGGUGUGAAACUCCAACUACCUGCUGACAGCUGGUGUUAACCGUACUGCAGCAUUCAUAGCUUUUCAGAGAUCAUGACAACAUUUCAUCUUCUGGUUGAUUUAAAAAUAAUAUAUCUGUACAUGAAGUCCUUCCCUGCCAACUUAGUUACUUCACAUGUAAAGAGAUUAGAGCUCUGUCAGAAUAAAGUGCAGCUUUGCACAUGAGAUGAUAAUAUCUCAUGUCCACAAAAAGAUACGACAGAAAAGCAAACUGCAGAACUUCAUAGCCAGGUGUGCGUUAAAUGUCAAGAUAGUGAACUUUGCAAAUUGGAUAUUAAAGGGAUAUUCCAGCGUAAAAUUAAAUUAGGGUCAAACACACCAUCACACUGAGUAAGACACCCCGUCGAGAGAUGAAUGUUGCCGAGCGCUUGCUUCUCUAGUUAUACCAACUUUAGUAACGACCGUACUAUAGCAAUACACACUCACCCACUCUCUUCCAGCAGCCGCUUAUUUGUUUGGACGAGUCCAUCAGUGACUGCAGCGGGGUGACGCAGCUCAAGGAAGAACAUUUAUGAUCAUUUCUGCAGUGCAAAAUGAUUAAUGUGGUGAUGAUUAUGAGCUGCGUCACCCCGCUUUAGUCAUGAUGGACUUGCCCGAAGUCUCCGUACAAACAAGCAGCUGCUGGAAGAGGGUAGGUGAGUUGUGUUUAGUCUCUUUGCUAAAGAAAUGAGGCAAAGGUAAAAGAUGUUUGGUGGCUAGUGCUGUGGAUAGGACCCUAUAUGUAUUGUUGAUGAAGUUCUGAGCAUUAUUUGUGGCCAUAGAGUGGCUUUUUGGUUCGUGCGUGGCUCCCGAGACCGCUGUGUACUGCUAUCCUGCGGUCGUUACUAAAGUCGGUAUAACUAGAGAAGUAAGCAGUCAGCAACAUUCAUCUCUCAACAGGGUGUCUAACUCGGUGUUACGGUGUGUUUGACCCUAACUUAAUUUUACACAGGAAUAUCCCUUUAAGGCCAAGCUGGUAGGGGGGCAGCUAAUGCAUAAUUCGUAGUCGUAAUCAAAUUUUGGCAGAAUCCACCUCCAAACAUUCAUUUCUACUAUACUGUGCCAACUAGAGUUUCAAAAUGGCCAACUUCAAUGCCAUAAACAUUUCAAGACUAAUGGAUCGACGGGCAGAUAGAUGGACAGUCAGACAGAUGGGUGGAUGAGAAGUUGUGAGAUUUCAGGAAAAACUGUUUGAAGUCUUAGAAGGAUUUGCCUCAUCGAGAAGCUAACUGUCCAAAACCUGUCCCCGUUUCACCCUUUGCUUUCUUUGUAAAUCUUAAGCAUUUAAACUUAAGACUGCUCAUAUCCUCCCAUCUUGUUUUCCAUUUUUAUGUUAAAAAUGAUAGAUUUGGUUCUGAGUACAAUCAUUUUCUCUUUAACUCCUCAUCCAAAAAUCCCCUUUGUCAAUCAUUCCCUCCUUCAGGUCCAGAGGUUUAUGACUAUGUUUCUAUCUGUGGUUGAAAUAGAAAACCUGUCAAGAGUAAACUCCCUGGCUCUUCAACUCAUAUGUGAACACACAUAUGCACAAUCUGGAAUAAGUCCAUUUUAACCACCAAAAUCAAGUGCAUAAGUAGUGCAGAGUACAAACACACACAGGCAAUACAUUCCACCUGCAACCCUCCUUCCACCAUUACUUUUAAAAACCAUGAGGGUCUCAAGCUCCCAACCACCACCCCCAACUCCUCCUUCCCCAAACCUCUUACUCCUUUAAGCCUCAACAUAAUCACUUUCUCAUCUUUUGCUCUGAUAAGUUUAACACUUCAGGGUCUUUUUUUAAUACUAACAGACACAAAUAUUAAUUUAAGUGUGUGCAUGUGUGUGUGUGUGUGUGUGUGUGUGUGUGUGUGUGUGUGUGUGCCUCGGCUCAAAGACACCCAGCUCCAUUAUCUCCACCUGUUGAUCAUCACCCUCAUUACACUGUAACAACAAGAGAUCCUCCUGUUUAUACUGGCCUGGCGCACCACUCACACGAGAUUACAUCUACCACACACAGAGCUGAUCAACUUAAGUGUGUAGGUAUGCAUGAAUGUGUGUUUGUGUGUGUGUGUGCUAUAGUGAAACACAGAAUUUAACCCUCUCUUCCUCUCUCUCUCUCUCUCUCUGAAAGUGGAUGAUUUGAGUCAUCAAGCAGGAACAAUUUGUCCAAACAUAUAAGUCGUCUCUUUGAACACGGACUGUUGCAGGCUCAUGUGAGUGUGAACAUUGCAGUCGAGAAUUUUCACUAAAUUAUCCAAAUCAGAACUACCUGCUACAGAAGUGGUUUAGUUUAGAAAAAAGAGACUGCAGUGUGAAGUACGGCAAUGCUUCAAAAAGGGCAGUGCAAAUGCUUGUGUUUGCAAAUAUAACGUAAAUUAGCCCCAUUGUGAUAAAACCUCUAUUGAUGUAGGUCAUGAUUCAAUCAAAACAGUGCAGACAUAGACUGUAUAUACUAUGGACAACUUGGUUCCGCCUUCCGCCAGUAUACGGAUUUGAAGCCAAAAAUCUCUCAGUAUUUCCGUGAUUUUUCUCUACUUCCUGAAACUGACAUUGCGCAGUAGCGUUGUACGCAUUCGGCGGGAGAGUCGCAGAGAUGACGACGCUUGGCUCAAAAAGCGUAUCCCUCAGGUGAGCUACUAAAUCUUCGUACACCCAUAGGCUGUAUCAAGUGUCAAUCAUAGAAAACAUGAACCUCCUAAUAACUUUUAAAAAUUGAGCUGUACAGAAAAAAAGAGGACUUGAGCACAGACGAGUCUUACACUAACUAUAUGUCAACAUCACAAGCAGACGAGAGAAAAAUUUAUAUACUGUGUAAUAAAUUUCUAAAGUUUGUCCACAGCUCCUCUGUCUGGUUGCCAUUGGUUUCGCUGAGUUUCGGGUCACAUGGGCACUGUGUUUGAAAGCCCAGGGGUUAUAUGAGGGGCUGUUUCACCUGCUCUGGGAUGGAGAGGUGAUUCUAGGUAGCCGUAUUUUUUGUUGACUGCGUUUAUGUUCUUUGUUUGCGUUGCGUUGUACAUUGCAAAGUGUACACAUAUUACAUCUUAGGGCGCAUGUAAAUCAUUGGCCACUGUAGAAGCGUUUUUGUGUUAUUAAAGCUCCAAAACCUCGAUGAACUGUGGGUGCUUCUAUGAAUCAGCAGUGGCGUGUCACACAAAUUUACAGGACCAAUUCUCUGCCUCAAGCGACUUUUUUAAAGGUAGUGGGAAAGCUGCAAUAUUUAUAUUGUAAUCAAAGUCAAUAUGAGGCAAUAAGUUCUGUUUGAAAAACCAUUACAGCUACAGAGUUUAAAAAGUAACAGCAAAAAUCAGUUAAAGUGAUUUGAGAGGUUACCUCCUGAGCUUUUGUGCUACAGUACUGACGGGGCAGAAGAGAGAAUGUUUCACAUUCAUCUUUGAUAUUAUAAUAAAAAUCCAUCAAUAAUAACUACAGUGCCCGACCAUAGAGAAAGAGACUACACCCAUCCCCCAUUCAUGCCAGUGCCCACUGUGAAAAACCCUGAACCAGGAACAGCCCUUGUGGUAACUCAGGCAUGUUCAUGGUGGCUGUGGUUGUUGAACUUGGAAAGUGCCACUCAAAUAUUUGACAAAUAUAUCUUAAGUGAAGGGGUCCAAACCAUCAGCCCCACACAGCAGACCUGCCAUAUAUCUUCAGUGUCGAGAAUAUAUGUGUGUGUGUGUGUGUGUGUGUGUGUGUGUGUGUGUGUGUGUGUGUGUGUGUGUGUGUGUGUGUGUGUGUGUGUGUGUGUGUGUGUUACUUUUUUGGGGAAUGAGAUUUGUAGACGGUUAAAAUUCCUGGUAUAAAAUGACAUCUUAUUUAGGACCACUUAACUAGGUUGACAUGACUGGAAUGCAUUACGUUGAGUGUGUGUGUGUAUGUGUGUGUACACGCAUGUGUUGUACCUGCGCGUGUGCUAUGUAUGAGCAGAUAGCCCUGAUUGCUUUUUGUAGCAUUAUUAACCUCACCGGUCAGGCUCGGUAAAUGAAAUGUCAAACAUCAUAUCCGUUAGGAGGAAGAUCUUCUCUCUUCCUGUCACCCUCCCUCCAACACACACAGUCUGUACCUUUGUACCUGACUGCAGAAAUUAACAUCCUUCAUAUAGAGGACACAAAUCCGGGAAUACACUCACAUGACACUCCAAAAUGACAAUUCCUACAUAACCCCGCUCUCCACUUUGCUAGAUUGAUAUGUAAAUGAAGGUAAAUGGAUCUCAUCCCCGAAACCUGACCUCACCAGGCUGCUCCAGGCCGGGCCGUCAAUCAGCAGCCUCAUCAGCAGCAGCAGCACAGGAGCAAUAGCAGCAAAGCAUGCCUUAAUAGUUCUAUCAAUCCCAUCAUGCCCCGCAUAUGUUUCCCCAUGGAUCAGACUUGAAACCUGCAUCUAUCAUUACUGUGCUCUGAUACUGCCAUUAGAGUAUCUUUUCCUCUUUGCGGCUCCCCCUUCUAUCCUCUUGUCUGAGGAAAGAAUGUAAAAUCACUUUCCAUUCAGAAGAGAGAGGGAAACAGGGUUUUUUCUCACAGGGUGUGGAGCUGGAAAACAGCACUUUCACUCACCAGCACUGAGGGCUGCAUUCUAAAUACAGUCAUGACAAUCACAAAAAGUAAUCUGACCGAGAUCGUGGAGGAUUAGGGAGGACCUUUUUCUGCUUUCUCUGACUGAUUUCGAGGAAAUCUUUGAUUGGGGAUUGCUCUUCUGAUAUGUGAUUGCUCUUAUUGUACAAGUGAUAGAUGAUCUACAAUCUAAGAUAAUGUGCUGUAAGCAUCACUGACGGGAAAUCUUGGGUGCAGAACCAGAACGAGGCUGUGAUCACACUUGACUGAGAACGAAUGCAGAAAAAGUUCAAAUUCAUCUUGCGGCACAGCAGCAGUUCAGGAUACAAAGGUCUCUGCUACAAUACACACAAAGUGUUGAGAGUAGCUCAACUUUAAAGUCUUGUAGGUUCUUUAAUGUGUUUACUAAUUAUCACAGCUGUAGCAGCCGGUUUACAGAUUCUUAAAUACAAUGCUGCGCUCAUUAACAUUUUGAGUGUAAAGACUGAAUGUGCAGCUGAGAUGUUUAAACAUCAGCUGGCAGCCAAAGUCCUGCAAGCAUUUCCACUUUCUCUUAAUCAAGAAAAAAAACUGUUCAUGUUACAGUUCUUGACUCUACAGUAGGGCUGGGCAAUAUGGCCUCAAAUCAAUAUCACGAUAUACUGAGCAGUUCACCUCAAUAAUGAUAAACAGAUGAUAACUACUCCACAAGCUGCUCACCCCCUCCCACAUUAACUUCAUCUACUUCAGCUGCUACAACUUUUGAACCGUCCUCCAUCUCCUCACCUGUCUUUCCCUCCUUGUUACUGACUGGAUGGGGUGGAGUCACGUCUCCAAAACCAACUUUUAUUUAUUCAUUUAUUUUACACCGAAAAUAUUGACAUGGGCAUAAUGACGUCGGUUAUUGUCGUGAAAUUUAGUAUCGGUAAAUUUUCUGUUUAUCGCCCAGCCCUACUCUAUAGCAUAUGAGCUGCAGCUGUUUUUUUACAGGUGAAUAAGUAGAGGUAAAAGACAAAAAAAAAGGAAAAACAAAACAAAUUAGAAAAGCACUCGGAGAGCGCAGACCUCCGCCAAGCAGCUCAUGUCCCCUCUUAUAUUGUGAUUCACACCAAAACUUUUACUGUUACGUGUCUUUUAUUAACGUUUAUUUGUGUUUAAACUGGUUUGUUCACUGUUUAUAAUGUUCCUAAAACUAGAAAUGCCCUGACCAGGAUUCCAACCCAGGAUGUUCUGGUUGUGAGGCGACAGUGCUAACCACUACACCACUGUGCCGCCCAUUGGUUAUCUUUCAGCAUUGACAAUUCCAACAACCCUUUUUUUUGUGUGUUCUGGAUCACAGUAUCCAGAAUUUUGUCCGGAUCACCACCAAAAUUUAAUGGGGCUGAGACACACCUCUGGUGAAAAUUUCAGGUCAAUCCGUCUGUAACUUUCUCCGUAAAGUUGCUAACAGACAAACAGACAAACAAACGAACAAACCAACGCUACCGAAAACAUAACCUCCUUGGUGGAGGUAGCAAAAAAGACAGGACAGGACAACAAGGUCUCUGAUGAAGCAAUUUUUAACUCCUAAGAGCAUGCACCUCGGUCUGUUCUCAGUUGACCUGAAAUCUGCCCCUGCAGGAUACUUUUAGUGAACUGGCAGCCUGGAGUCGGGCCACGGAGAGCUUGAAAAGGCUUUUAUCAAAAUCAUGGCUUCUGGAUACUCCACACAAGUUCUUUGGAGGGUCAGGUUACACAGAAGAAGCAGCAAUCAUGUAACAAUCAUGCUCGACGCAGAAAGCUCACAUUCACUCGCAGAAUCACAACUGAGCUGCCAGGUUCCUAUUAGCGAGCUGCGGACUUCAGUGUGGCCAAGAAGAGUUCACACGGUGAUGUGAAGCAGACUGUAAGGGAAACUGUGAGAGCAGGUUCUGAUUCAUCUGGAUUCAUCUAAGCUGGGAGAUUACGUCCAGGUAUUUACACAAGACUUCAGAGCAGAAAGUCUACACGCCCUGCAGUCUCCUGUCUCUCUAGCUGUGUGUCUGUGUCUGUGCUUGGAGUGUAUGUAGUAUGCUUGUGUGGCAUGCGUGGGAUCCUGUAUUUUCUGAAUGUGAAAUCAGAUUAAAUGGGAGGGUAGGCUGUGGGGUGCGCUGCAAGUGCUCCGAUAUGCUCGCUUUACUCUGAGGUAUGCGAGACUGAAGCGGAGUGUGUGUUUGAAAGAAAGAGUGAAUCUGUGUGUGUGUGUGUGUGUGUGUGUGUGUGUGUGUGUGUGUGUGUGUGUGUGUGUGUGUGUGUGUUUGAUGGGGGCAGGGAUUGUGGUCCAUGGCUCUCAGGUAUUUCACCUGGGGGCGUUUGUGCAGAGGUUUCACUUAUAUGUGCAUCUACAUGCAUGCAUGUGUGUGUGUGUGUGUGUGUGUGUGUGUGUGUGUGUGUGUGUGUGUGUGUGUGUGUGUGUGUGUGUGUGUUUGCAUCUAUAAAGUAAGAGCCCACCUGUUGAUGGCUCUGAUAAGGUGCCCUCAGGCUCUGUCUCCUCUUACAUUAACAGACUGGACAGGUCAUUUCCUGAACGUGACCACAACAUGAUCUGAACUUUGAACUAAUCUAAUAACUUGUUCAUAUUAAAUUGAUUCUGACUUAUUGGUUCAAAUCAGUGCUGCAGUUAGAAACUUGUUAGAAACUUUUAUGAUAUUCCAGAAUCUUGUGAAACGUUUCUUUCUUCCUACAUGAGCUAAACUGGGAAACUGUAUAGGCCUACUUUUCGAAAUAUAUUGGAUUUGGGGGCAAAUUUUAGCCGCUCCCCUUUCCUUCAUGUCAUCAGCUUUCUCUUCUCUGUGUGUUCUGUCUAUUUUCAGCUCACUUAUCCAAUUAAGGCAAAAAUGACAGGAAAAUAAUUAUGAAGAAACGCAUCACCUGACCCCCAGAUGAUUGCUCUAACAACACUGUGUCCCAAUUAAGCAAAUGAAUAAGCCAGGUGGCCAACUGCACUUCUUAUUAAAUCUUUGUUGUCAUGGGAACAAUAAAAUCACAUAAUUAACCUUGUGAACCUGUUUCAGUUUGAUGUAGUUUGAGCAUCACAACUUCUCUUGUCAAAAAUACUUCAGUUUGGGUUGAUUACUGGUACUUGUAACAACAAAAACAUGGUGUGAAGUCUUACUAAAUCAGUUAACUCCACUUGAUACUGAUUAGAUCAUUAUACAGGAUUGUAAAGGUGCACUUGUGCCGCGUUCCAGUUGUACUUGGAAGUCGGAAUCUCUGAGCUCCCAGUCAGAAAUUCAUCUGGAACGCCCCCUUGUAGUCAGAUUUCCCACUCGGAAAGUCGGAUGAUCCUCACCAACCCCGACUUGGCGACAACGUCAUAAUCCAAGAUGGCAGCACAGUGCAUCAACAGUAAAGAGUAACAGUGAAAGCUCUCCUAAUGUAUAAUUUAUUAGCACUUCUGUUUUGUUUUCCUGAAAUUAAACAAGUGAGAUAUGUUGUACUGCUCAACAUCGAACUAUGAACACGGUGCUAUGGUGUUUGUAAGAGUAAAAUACUGAAUUAUACGUUGUUUACAACUGGUUUAGCGAACAACAACGGCUAACGACAGCUAACAAUUGUAAACAACAGCUAACAAAGGGUUACUGUAGGCGUCCAUCUCGGUUUUCCGACUUGUUAACUGGAACACCGUCAACUCGGCUGUAACGUCUAGCCAGUUCCGACAUCCGACUUCAAAGGUCCAGAGCAUAAAAUCCUGCAUCAGCAGACAUUCUCCUAAACUGCACCAGGACCUUAUGCUGAGUUUGAGUUACCUCGGAAGUCAGAUGUCGGAGCUAAAAAAAUUGACGUCACAUCCAAGUUCCCACUUUUUCAGCUACCAAGUCAAUAAAAAGCAAAAUUGGAGGCCUGAAACAAGAUGGCUACAUCUACGAAAGUUAUUUUAGCGCUUGCCUUGUCCGAAUGUAAGGUAAAAUAACUUUCGUAGAUAACUUAAAAUAACUUUUGUAGAUGUAGCCAUCUUGUUUCAGCCUCAGAAUUUGUUUUUUUCGGACUUGGUAACUGAAACGCCGGUAACUCCAGUGUGACGUCAUUUUCAGCUCAGACUUCUGACCUCCGAGGUAACUCGAACGCAGCAUUACUGUCUUAUUUGCACUCUCAAAGACAGCUGAUCCUACAUUAAAUGGUCUAAGAAGUGAACUUCAAUGAAAUAAAUAUUCGACCUAUGGAAAGAUUUUUGUCUUACCAUCUUCUGUACAAAUCUGUGUCACACACAAGCACUCACAGUUAUGUUCUCAGAUUGGGACAACACUUAGGAAGUGGGUGGGGAAGCAAAAAUCCCCUCACAGGAGGUUGAGUGUUUUUUUUCUGUUCCCUGGAUUCUUCCUUCUUUCAAAUGUAACUUAUUUCAGGAGGAUUUCAUAUGAAUAGAAAAGUGUAAAUGCAGUAGCAAUGUUAGUUUCUCUUCUUUGCUCUUUUGAGAUUCAACUCUCUCAGCUGCAAAAGGAAGCUCUCUCUCU